RNAcentral lists this transfer RNA (69 nucleotides) under Crax globulosa. RNAcentral describes it as "tRNA-Met". The record is from RNAcentral. Lineage: Eukaryota; Metazoa; Chordata; Aves; Galliformes; Cracidae.
NNUAAGAGACAGUAACAAAGCUAUCGGGCCCAUACCCCGAAAAUGAUGGUUCAACCCCCUCCCCUACUA